GACGAACGCUGGCGGCGUGCCUAACACAUGCAAGUCGAACGGAAAGGCCCUGCAUUUGUGGGGUGCGCGAGUGGCGAACGGGUGAGUAACACGUGAGUAACCUGUCCUUGACUUUGGGAUAACUUCAGGAAACUGGGGUUCUUCUCGCAUAGGAGCUCUUGCUGCAGGGUGGGGGUGGGUAAGUUUCGCUGGUUGGGGAUGGAAUCGCGGCGCAUCAGCUUGUUGGUUGGGUAGUGUAUUACCAAGGCUUUGACGGGUUGCCGGCCUGGACGGGUGACCGGCCACAUUGGGAUGGAGAUACGACCCGGACUCCAACGGGAGGGAGGGGUGAGGAAUAGACCACAAUAGGCUGAGGCCUGGUGCAACAACGCCGCGUGGGGUAAGACGGCCUUCGGGUUGUAACGCGCUUUCGCCUGUGACGAAGCGUGAGUGACGGUAAUGGGUAAAGAAGCACCGGCUAACUACGUG
RNAcentral lists this ribosomal RNA (468 nucleotides) under uncultured bacterium. RNAcentral's name for it is "partial 16S ribosomal RNA". It matches the Rfam family "Bacterial small subunit ribosomal RNA", at positions 28 to 507 of the family's 1533-position model. The record is from RNAcentral.